RNAcentral lists this ribosomal RNA (234 nucleotides) under uncultured bacterium. Its description in RNAcentral is "partial 16S ribosomal RNA". It matches the Rfam family "Bacterial small subunit ribosomal RNA", at positions 100 to 334 of the family's 1533-position model. The record is from RNAcentral.
CGGGACGGGUGAGUAAUGUCUAGGGAAACUGCCUGAUGGAGGGGGAUAACUACUGGAAACGGUAGCUAAUACCGCAUAACGUCGCAAGACCAAAGAGGGGGACCUUCGGGCCUCUUGCCAUCGGAUGUGCCCAGAUGGGAUUAGCUAGUAGGUGGGGUAACGGCUCACCUAGGCGACGAUCCCUAGCUGGUCUGAGAGGAUGACCAGCCACACUGGAACUGAGACACGGUCCAG